RNAcentral lists this transfer RNA (74 nucleotides) under Candidatus Taylorbacteria bacterium CG11_big_fil_rev_8_21_14_0_20_46_11. RNAcentral describes it as "tRNA-Ala". It matches the Rfam family "tRNA". From Rfam's summary of the family: Transfer RNA (tRNA) molecules are approximately 80 nucleotides in length. Lineage: Bacteria; Candidatus Tayloriibacteriota. The record is from RNAcentral.
GGGCCUAUAGUAAAAUGGUAUUACGCGCCCAUGGCAUGGGUGAGGUGGGAGUCCGAUUCUCCCUAGGUCCACCA